AUUGAACGCUGGCGGCAUGCUUUACACAUGCAAGUCGAACGGUAACAGGCCGCAAGGUGCUGACGAGUGGCGAACGGGUGAGUAAUGCAUCGGAACGUGCCCAGUCGUGGGGGAUAACGCAGCGAAAGCUGUGCUAAUACCGCAUACGAUCUACGGAUGAAAGCGGGGGACUCAGCAAUGAGCCUCGCGCGAUUGGAGCGGCCGAUGUCAGAUUAGGUAGUUGGUGGGAUAAAAGCUCACCAAGCCAACGAUCUGUAGCUGGUCUGAGAGGACGACCAGCCACACUGGGACUGAGACACGGCCCAGACUCCUACGGGAGGCAGCAGUGGGGAAUUUUGGACAAUGGGCGCAAGCCUGAUCCAGCAAUGCCGCGUGCAGGAAGAAGGCCUCGGUGUAACUGCUUUGUACGGUAACGAACGGUCUGGGUUAAUACCCUGGGCUAAUGACGGUACCGUAAGAAUAAGCACCGGCUAACUACGUGCC
RNAcentral lists this ribosomal RNA (483 nucleotides) under uncultured bacterium. Its description in RNAcentral is "bacterial SSU rRNA". It matches the Rfam family "Bacterial small subunit ribosomal RNA", at positions 30 to 509 of the family's 1533-position model. The record is from RNAcentral.